Molecule: long non-coding RNA, 398 nt
Filed under: Anser cygnoides (Swan goose)
Lineage: Eukaryota; Metazoa; Chordata; Aves; Anseriformes; Anatidae
Description: lncRNA (ENSACDG00005010230.1)
Source: RNAcentral
AUGCCAGACACACAUGACAAUGAGACCAGAUCAUGGCACACUCCUGGCUGCUCUCCCCUUGAGAACUCAGCUGGAAGGAAGAACUGCCAACGCUCUACAGGACAGAUAAGACAGCCCCAACCCAUUCCCCACCAUGGUCUCACACCAUACCAGAAGAUGACACGGUUGGGUUAUGAUGGGCAUCUCCUGGCCACCAGGGAGACCUCAGAGCAGAGCAAGCCACUGAAGGAGAAGAAAGCACACAAGGACCCCGCCUCUACCCUGCCAUGGUCCUACAAGCAGACCAACGGGCUCCGCGCCUUUGGACAUUGAGAGCUCGGCACGCCUCUCCGCCAACUCACCCCACCCCACGUCUCUCUCAAACGUUGCUUAAAUAAAGGUUCUGAUUCACAACCUCA